RNAcentral lists this long non-coding RNA (206 nucleotides) under Gossypium barbadense (sea-island cotton). RNAcentral describes it as "long non-coding RNA (GBAR_LNC001201)". Lineage: Eukaryota; Viridiplantae; Streptophyta; Magnoliopsida; Malvales; Malvaceae. The record is from RNAcentral.
CCAAACUUAAAUCAUCAACCCAAUUAAACCAAACUAAACCCAACCCCAAUUAAACCAACUAAGCCCAACCUACCCUAACCCAAACAAAACAGACCCACACAUAGGCCCAAGAGACUAAACCAACUCAGAAACCCUAAGGUUUCUGAGCCUUCCUAGCGCCGCACCCCCCACGUGCCUCGUCGGCAUGUCCAACGCCUGAGGCUCGA